Molecule: ribosomal RNA, 377 nt
Filed under: Sinorchestia taiwanensis
Lineage: Eukaryota; Metazoa; Arthropoda; Malacostraca; Amphipoda; Talitridae
Description: partial 16S ribosomal RNA
Source: RNAcentral
UUAAUUGUAAACUGGAAUGAACGGUCUAACAAAAUUAUAUUUAUUUUUAAUAGAUUAUUAAAAUUUUUGUUUUAUGUAAAAACACAUAAAUAGUUAAAAGGGACGAUAAGACCCUAAAAGCUUUAUUAUCGAUUUAUUCUUAUUGUUAAUAUAAAAUAACAUAAUUCUAUUUUAACUGGGGCGGUUUUAUUUUUAACAAAUAUUUUUGUUACAUAUGGGUUCUAAGAUCCUUCUUAUGAGGAUAAUUUGAUUAAGUUACUUUAGGGAUAACAGCAUAAUAAUAAUAGGGAGACCUCAUUUAUGUUAUUGAUUGUGACCUCGAUGUUGAAUUAGGAUUUCAUUAUAAAGCAUAAAUUAUUUUGAGAGUUUGUCCAACU